This 484-nucleotide ribosomal RNA is filed under the name uncultured bacterium. RNAcentral describes it as "partial 16S ribosomal RNA". It matches the Rfam family "Bacterial small subunit ribosomal RNA", at positions 30 to 507 of the family's 1533-position model. The record is from RNAcentral.
AUUGAACGCUAGCGGGAUGCUUUACACAUGCAAGUCGAACGGCAGCGCGGACUUCGGUCUGGCGGCGAGUGGCGAACGGGUGAGUAAUGUAUCGGAACGUGCCCAGUCGCGGGGGAUAACUACGCGAAAGCGUAGCUAAUACCGCAUACGCCCUACGGGGGAAAGCAGUGGAUCGUAAGACCUUGCACUAUUGGAUAGGCCGAUAUCGGAUUAGCUAGUUGGUGAGGUAACGGCUCACCAAGGCGACGAUCCGUAGCUGGUUUGAGAGGACGACCAGCCACACUGGGACUGAGACACGGCCCAGACUCCUACGGGAGGCAGCAGUGGGGAAUCUUGGACAAUGGGGGCAACCCUGAUCCAGCCAUCCCGCGUGUGCGAUGAAGGUCUUCGGGUUGUAAAGCACUGUUAGCAGGAAAGAAACGUCGCGGAAGAAUACCCCGUGGAACUGACGGUACCUGAAGAAUAAGCACCGGCUAACUACGUG